GCGGGGGUACCCCAGCCAGGUCAACGGGGCCAGAAUGUGUUUAUUGGACAUCCAGUCGAUAAUCAUAUGACUUAGACUCAAGAUCUGCUCGCAUAGGCGUUCGUGAGUUCAAAUCUCACCCCCCGCA
RNAcentral lists this transfer RNA (127 nucleotides) under Candidatus Heimdallarchaeota archaeon. RNAcentral's name for it is "tRNA-OTHER". The record is from RNAcentral. Lineage: Archaea; Promethearchaeati; Candidatus Heimdallarchaeota.